GAUGAACGCUGGCGGCGUGCUUAACACAUGCAAGUCGAACGGAAAGGCUCCUGCUUGCAGGGGUACUCGAGUGGCGAACGGGUGAGUAACACGUGGGUGAUCUGCCCUGCACUUCGGGAUAAGCCUGGGAAACUGGGUCUAAUACCGGAUAGGACCAUGGUUUGGAUGCCAUUGUGGAAAGUUUUUUCGGUGUGGGAUGAGCUCGCGGCCUAUCAGCUUGUUGGUGGGGUAAUGGCCUACCAAGGCGUCGACGGGUAGCCGGCCUGAGAGGGUGUACGGCCACAUUGGGACUGAGAUACGGCCCAGACUCCUACGGGAGGCAGCAGUGGGGAAUAUUGCACAAUGGGCGCAAGCCUGAUGCAGCGACGCCGCGUGGGGGAUGACGGCCUUCGGGUUGUAAACUCCUUUCGCUAGGGACGAAGCGCAAGUGACGGUACCUGGAGAAGAAGCACCGGCUAACUACGUG
RNAcentral lists this ribosomal RNA (466 nucleotides) under uncultured bacterium. RNAcentral's name for it is "partial 16S ribosomal RNA". It matches the Rfam family "Bacterial small subunit ribosomal RNA", at positions 28 to 507 of the family's 1533-position model. The record is from RNAcentral.